CUGCAAGCACUCUAAUGAUUUUGUGGACUAAUUCCAGAUUAUGAAAGAUCGAGGGGCCGAUACUGAAAAACGAUCUAAAAAGUAAAUUACAUUAACAUAAAGCACCAUCCACGUGGACCAUCACCAGCCAUUAAUUUCCUCCAAGAUCCGAAGGAAAAUACUAUUCUCUCUCCUCACUCUCCCUUCCCGGACCUUUCCGCUUCCAGCUUCACAUGGCAAGGCUCCCUUUUUUAUCAAUUAAUAAUAAUAAUAAUUCCCCCAACCCUGCAGGAGCAAAGGCCUUCUCUCCAAAAACUCCCAUAAUAACAAGCAAGCGCCAAAUCUCUCUCUGCUCCUCCUCCCCUUCAUGCGAUCUCAAUCUGGGCCUCCCCCAACAGAACCACCCAUCCCUUGAAAUCUCUCCCCAGUCCGCCCUUUUCCCGCCUCCGCUCCCUCCGCUCCCUGCUGGGCUCCGUCAAGAACCUCUAAUGGAUUCUUCGUCGGGGGCGAAUGGGAAGCUGUUGUCGAAGGAGUUGGAUGUUGCUGUGAGAGUUGUGCAGAUGGCCUGCUCUCUGUGUCAGAGGGUCCAAGAUGGGCUUGUUGGGAGAAAAGGGGAUCAGAUCAAAUCCAAGGAUGACGAUUCUCCUGUUACGGUUGCAGAUUGGGGUGUACAGGCAACCGUCAGUUGGAUGCUUUCACAAAAUUUUGGCAUCGAAAAUGUAUCCAUUGUGGCUGAAGAAGAUGUCCAAACUCUAUCCGAAAAAAAUUCUGCAGGCUUGCUCGAUUCCGUCGUCAGUCUUGUCAACGAGUGCCUCGCUGAAGCUCCCAAAUACGGAUUACAAGCUCCCCAAAAAUCUCUCGGAAGUAGAGAGGUUCUUGAUGCUAUAAGCAGAUGCAACUCCAUUGGUGGUCCAAAGGGAAGAUUUUGGGCUCUUGACCCUGUAGAUGGUACAUUAGGCUUUGUUCGUGGAGAUCAAUACGCUGUUGCUCUUGCGCUAAUUGCGGAUGGGCAAGUUAUUCUUGGUGUUCUUGGAUGCCCGAAUUAUCCAAUGAAGAAGCAGUGGCUUAACUAUCACCAGCGAUAUUAUAGGCUCAUGUCUAAGCUCUCGCCUCCUGCUCCUGGGUCUUGGGACAAAGGAUGUGUGUUCUAUGCUCAGAGAGGUAGCGGUCAGGCUUGGAUGCAACCACUGAUUCAUGAUUAUGGGAAGCUUGAAAUGGAGAGCUCAGCAACUCCGAUUAGGGUUUCAUCGAUUGAUGAUCCGGCCUUAUCGACGUUUUGUGAACCCGUUGAGAAGACCAAUUCGAGCCAUUCAUUCACCGCUGGUUUGGCUGAAAGUGUUGGCAUGAGGAAGCAACCUUUGCGAGUCUACAGCAUGGUAAAGUACGCAGCCAUAGCCCGCGGUGACGCAGAGAUAUUCAUGAAGUUUGCACGGGCCGGCUACAAGGAGAAGAUAUGGGACCAUGCUGCCGGUGUUGUCAUCAUACAAGAGGCUGGUGGAGUUGUCACUGAUGCAAGAGGCCGCCCGUUGGAUUUUUCAAGAGGCGUAUACCUAGAAGGUCUCGAUCGGGGCAUAAUAGCUUGCUCCGGUUCAGUACUACACGAGAAGAUCAUUGGUUCUGUGGAUGCCAGCUGGGACUCAUCAAAUCUCUGAUGUCUUCUGUAAUCUUCAGACCUCGAGCUUGGUAUGUAGUACAGGGAAUUUGAACUUGCAGAGCACUUCAGGGAGAAAUCAAAAGGUUAUAUCGUAUUUCUGGGAAGGACCUUUAUACUUGAAAAAUAAGAUACAGAUUAGUAUAAAUACCGUAUCCAAGAAGAGAGAAAUGGCCAUAACGUGGGCAUACUAAUACAAUUUUUUGUCGGAGCCGAUAUGUUCGUCAAGAAACUUGUCUACCUGAGAAUGUAUACACAUCAUUGUUAUUGUUGCAAGUCUGAUCAAAUUCUUGGUCUACUAAGUUUUGAAUAUAAAUUUUACUAGUUUAGCUUGA
Molecule: RNA transcript, 1965 nt
Organism: Asparagus officinalis (garden asparagus)
Lineage: Eukaryota; Viridiplantae; Streptophyta; Magnoliopsida; Asparagales; Asparagaceae
Gene name: PAP-specific phosphatase HAL2-like
Exons: 4
Source: RefSeq, a predicted model, not a curated record